Molecule: ribosomal RNA, 1542 nt
Filed under: Escherichia coli
Lineage: Bacteria; Pseudomonadati; Pseudomonadota; Gammaproteobacteria; Enterobacterales; Enterobacteriaceae
Description: bacterial SSU rRNA
Rfam family: Bacterial small subunit ribosomal RNA
Source: RNAcentral
AAAUUGAAGAGUUUGAUCAUGGCUCAGAUUGAACGCUGGCGGCAGGCCUAACACAUGCAAGUCGAACGGUAACAGGAAACAGCUUGCUGUUUCGCUGACGAGUGGCGGACGGGUGAGUAAUGUCUGGGAAACUGCCUGAUGGAGGGGGAUAACUACUGGAAACGGUAGCUAAUACCGCAUAACGUCGCAAGACCAAAGAGGGGGACCUUCGGGCCUCUUGCCAUCGGAUGUGCCCAGAUGGGAUUAGCUUGUUGGUGGGGUAACGGCUCACCAAGGCGACGAUCCCUAGCUGGUCUGAGAGGAUGACCAGCCACACUGGAACUGAGACACGGUCCAGACUCCUACGGGAGGCAGCAGUGGGGAAUAUUGCACAAUGGGCGCAAGCCUGAUGCAGCCAUGCCGCGUGUAUGAAGAAGGCCUUCGGGUUGUAAAGUACUUUCAGCGGGGAGGAAGGGAGUAAAGUUAAUACCUUUGCUCAUUGACGUUACCCGCAGAAGAAGCACCGGCUAACUCCGUGCCAGCAGCCGCGGUAAUACGGAGGGUGCAAGCGUUAAUCGGAAUUACUGGGCGUAAAGCGCACGCAGGCGGUUUGUUAAGUCAGAUGUGAAAUCCCCGGGCUCAACCUGGGAACUGCAUCUGAUACUGGCAAGCUUGAGUCUCGUAGAGGGGGGUAGAAUUCCAGGUGUAGCGGUGAAAUGCGUAGAGAUCUGGAGGAAUACCGGUGGCGAAGGCGGCCCCCUGGACGAAGACUGACGCUCAGGUGCGAAAGCGUGGGGAGCAAACAGGAUUAGAUACCCUGGUAGUCCACGCCGUAAACGAUGUCGACUUGGAGGUUGUGCCCUUGAGGCGUGGCUUCCGGAGCUAACGCGUUAAGUCGACCGCCUGGGGAGUACGGCCGCAAGGUUAAAACUCAAAUGAAUUGACGGGGGCCCGCACAAGCGGUGGAGCAUGUGGUUUAAUUCGAUGCAACGCGAAGAACCUUACCUGGUCUUGACAUCCACAGAACCCUGUAGAGAUACGGGGGUGCCUUCGGGAACUGUGAGACAGGUGCUGCAUGGCUGUCGUCAGCUCGUGUUGUGAAAUGUUGGGUUAAGUCCCGCAACGAGCGCAACCCUUAUCCUUUGUUGCCAGCGGUCCGGCCGGGAACUCAAAGGAGACUGCCAGUGAUAAACUGGAGGAAGGUGGGGAUGACGUCAAGUCAUCAUGGCCCUUACGACCAGGGCUACACACGUGCUACAAUGGCGCAUACAAAGAGAAGCGACCUCGCGAGAGCAAGCGGACCUCAUAAAGUGCGUCGUAGUCCGGAUUGGAGUCUGCAACUCGACUCCAUGAAGUCGGAAUCGCUAGUAAUCGUGGAUCAGAAUGCCACGGUGAAUACGUUCCCGGGCCUUGUACACACCGCCCGUCACACCAUGGGAGUGGGUUGCAAAAGAAGUAGGUAGCUUAACCUUCGGGAGGGCGCUUACCACUUUGUGAUUCAUGACUGGGGUGAAGUCGUAACAAGGUAACCGUAGGGGAACCUGCGGUUGGAUCACCUCCUUA